UGGGGGAUAUUGCACAAUGGGCGAAAGCCUGAUGCAGCGACGCCGCGUGGGGGAUGAAGGCCUUCGGGUUGUAAACUUCUUUUGCUCUGAACAAGGCAUGCUGUUGGGGUGUGUUGAGUGUAGGGGUUGAUUAGCGCCGGCUAACUACGUGCCAGCAGCCGCGGUAAUACGUAGGGCGCGAGCGUUGUCCGGAAUUAUUGGGCGUAAAGGGCUUGUAGGUGGCUGGUUGCGUCUGUCGUGAAAGCUCAUGGCUUAACUGUGGGUUUGCGGUGGGUACGGGCUGGCUUGAGUGCAGUAGGGGAGGCUGGAAUUCCUGGUGUAGCGGUGGAAUGCGCAGAUAUCAGGAGGAAUACCGGUGGCGAAGGCGGGUCUCUGGGCUGUUACUGACGCUGAGUAGCGAAAGCGUGGGGAGCGAACAGG
RNAcentral lists this ribosomal RNA (420 nucleotides) under Fusobacteriota bacterium. RNAcentral's name for it is "Fusobacteria bacterium partial 16S ribosomal RNA". It matches the Rfam family "Bacterial small subunit ribosomal RNA", at positions 355 to 776 of the family's 1533-position model. The record is from RNAcentral. Lineage: Bacteria; Fusobacteriati; Fusobacteriota.